GCCGACUUAACUCAAUUAGGUAGAGUAACUGAAUCGUAAUCAGUAGGUUGCAGGUUCAAUUCCUGUAGUCGGCACCA
RNAcentral lists this transfer RNA (77 nucleotides) under Bacilli bacterium. RNAcentral's name for it is "tRNA-Thr". It matches the Rfam family "tRNA". From Rfam's summary of the family: Transfer RNA (tRNA) molecules are approximately 80 nucleotides in length. Lineage: Bacteria; Bacillati; Bacillota; Bacilli. The record is from RNAcentral.